GUGUUCCAACGCCCCCCAAUAAUAUAAUACCCCCAUAAGUCAUUUUAUAACCAGAUAUAAAAAAAGAAGAAAGAUUCGAAGAAUUUAUUGAAAUUAAUUCAGGUGUCCUAUGGCGAAUUAACAUUUUCGCAGCCGGUGACGCGCAGUUACGUUUCCUUUUUGUUUUUAUUUGCAGCUGGUUGGAAUUUUUCUAAAAUUAUCCUCCAACGUAAAUAGCUAAAAGUGGACAUUUCAGAAUUUUCUGGCAUACCCUGUGUUCAUUUAAAUGUCGCAAGUGACGAUGAAAAAUUCAGAAAUAACGGGAGAAAUUAUCUUGUCUAAUUAUUAUCUGUAUUAAUGAAACUUGGAAAAUACAGCAGCUUGUAUUUUUGAUAAUUCUUCGUUGCCUACUCAUAGAUUCUCGAGUCUUGUGUUUUCAAUAAUUCUUGGUUACUUACUGAAAGAUUCUUAUAUUUUUAAUAUUCCUCGAUUGCCUAUUGACAAAUGCUGCAGAAAGCUUUUGUAUUCUUGUUACACACGACUGUGAAGUGUAUCAGAAUGACAGAGUACAGAUAACGAACAAGUUUCAAACAAGCAGUUGCAAACAGAAUACUUCCAACGUUUUCUAUUAUUUUAUCCUCAUGGCAUUAAGGAACCCUGCUGUAAACAGCUUCAGUUCUUAUCUCAAUCGUACAAGAUCUUUGGAAGAGACAAAACACAAAAGAAAAAAAUCGGCUGUGAAAGAAGUUAAUUCCAAUCUGCUCAGAAUGAAU
Molecule: long non-coding RNA, 752 nt
Organism: Bombus impatiens (common eastern bumble bee)
Lineage: Eukaryota; Metazoa; Arthropoda; Insecta; Hymenoptera; Apidae
Exons: 2
Source: RefSeq, a predicted model, not a curated record